RNAcentral lists this ribosomal RNA (426 nucleotides) under uncultured Actinomycetes bacterium. RNAcentral describes it as "bacterial SSU rRNA". It matches the Rfam family "Bacterial small subunit ribosomal RNA", at positions 233 to 671 of the family's 1533-position model. Lineage: Bacteria; Bacillati; Actinomycetota; Actinomycetes. The record is from RNAcentral.
GCGGCCUAUCAGCUUGUUGGUGGGGUGAUGGCCUACCAAGGCGACGACGGGUAGCCGGCCUGAGAGGGUGACCGGCCACACUGGGACUGAGAUACGGCCCAGACUCCUACGGGAGGCAGCAGUGGGGAAUAUUGCACAAUGGGCGCAAGCCUGAUGCAGCGACGCCGCGUGAGGGAUGACGGCCUUCGGGUUGUAAACCUCUUUCGCCAGGGACGAAGCGCAAGUGACGGUACCUGGAGAAGAAGGACCGGCCAACUACGUGCCAGCAGCCGCGGUAAUACGUAGGGUCCGAGCGUUGUCCGGAAUUACUGGGCGUAAAGAGCUCGUAGGUGGUUUGUCGCGUUGUUCGUGAAAACUCACAGCUUAACUGUGGGCGUGCGGGCGAUACGGGCAGACUGGAGUACUGCAGGGGAGACUGGAAUUCCU